RNAcentral lists this ribosomal RNA (216 nucleotides) under uncultured Rhizophagus. Its description in RNAcentral is "partial small subunit ribosomal RNA". The stretch from base 40 to 216 matches the Rfam family "Eukaryotic small subunit ribosomal RNA", at positions 686 to 864 of the family's 1831-position model. Lineage: Eukaryota; Fungi; Glomeromycota; Glomeromycetes; Glomerales; Glomeraceae. The record is from RNAcentral.
AGGUUAGUAGGUUGGUCAUGCCUCUGGUAUGUACUGGUCUCACUGAUUCCUCCUUCCUUAUGAACCGUAAUGCCAUUAAUUUGGUGUUGCGGGGAAUUUGGACUGUUACUUUGAAAAAAUUAGAGUGUUUAAAGCAGGCUAACGCUUGAAUACAUUAGCAUGGAAUAAUGAAAUAGGACGUUCGAUCUUAUUUUGUUGGUUUCUAGGAUUGACGUA